AAAGCGAGCGGCGGAUGGGUGAGUAACACGUGGGGAACCUGCCCCUAAGUCUGGGAUACCAUUUGGAAACAGGUGCUAAUACCGGAUAAUAAAGCAGAUCGCAUGAUCAGCUUUUGAAAGGCGGCGUAAGCUGUCGCUAAGGGAUGGCCCCGCGGUGCAUUAGCUAGUUGGUAAGGUAACGGCUUACCAAGGCGACGAUGCAUAGCCGAGUUGAGAGACUGAUCGGCCACACUGGGACUGAGACACGGCCCAAACUCCUACGGGAGGCAGCAGUAGGGAAUCUUCCACAAUGGACGCAAGUCUGAUGGAGCAACGCCGCGUGAGUGAAGAAGGUUUUCGGAUCGUAAACCUCUGUUGUUGGUGAAGAAGGAUAGAGGUAGUAACUGGCCUUUAUUUGACGGUAAUCAACCAGAAAGUCACGGCUAACUACGUGCCAGCAGCCGCGGUAAUACGUAGGUGGCAAGCGUUGUCCGGAUUUAUUGGGCGUAAAGCGAGCGCAGGCGGAAAAAUAAGUCUAAUGUGAAAGCCCUCGGCUUAACCGAGGAACUGCAUCGGAAACUGUUUUUCUUGAGUGCAGAAGAGGAGAGUGGAACUCCAUGUGUAGCGGUGGAAUGCGUAGAUAUAUGGAAGAACACCAGUGGCGAAGGCGGCUCUCUGGUCUGCAACUGACGCUGAGGCUCGAAAGCAUGGGUAGCGAACAGGAUUAGAUACCCUGGUAUUCCAUGCCGUAAACGAUGAGUGCUAAGUGUUGGGAGGUUUCCGCCUCUCAGUGCUGCAGCUAACGCAUUAAGCACUCCGCCUGGGGAGUACGACCGCAAGGUUGAAACUCAAAGGAAUUGACGGGGGCCCGCACAA
This 855-nucleotide ribosomal RNA is filed under the name uncultured bacterium. Its description in RNAcentral is "bacterial SSU rRNA". It matches the Rfam family "Bacterial small subunit ribosomal RNA", at positions 88 to 928 of the family's 1533-position model. The record is from RNAcentral.